Molecule: ribosomal RNA, 505 nt
Filed under: uncultured bacterium
Lineage: Bacteria
Description: partial 16S ribosomal RNA
Rfam family: Bacterial small subunit ribosomal RNA
Source: RNAcentral
AGUGAACGCUGGCGGUAGGCCUAACACAUGCAAGUCGAACGGCAGCACAGGAGAGCUUGCUCUCUGGGUGGCGAGUGGCGGACGGGUGAGGAAUACAUCGGAAUCUACUUUUUCGUGGGGGAUAACGUAGGGAAACUUACGCUAAUACCGCAUACGACCUAAGGGUGAAAGCAGGGGAUCUCCGGACCUUGCGCGAUUGAAUGAGCCGAUGUCGGAUUAGCUAGUUGGAGGGGUAAAGGCCCACCAAGGCGACGAUCCGUAGCUGGUCUGAGAGGAUGAUCAGCCACACUGGAACUGAGACACGGUCCAGACUCCUACGGAGGCAGCAGUGGGGAAUAUUGGACAAUGGGCGCAAGCCUGAUCCAGCCAUACCGCGUGGGUGAAGAAGGCCUUCGGGUUGUAAAGCCCUUUUGUUGGGAAAGAAAUCCAGCUGGUUAAUACCCGGUUGGGAUGACGGUACCCAAAGAAUAAGCACCGGCUAACUUCGUGCCAGCCGCCGCGGUAA